Molecule: unclassified non-coding RNA, 282 nt
Filed under: uncultured fungus
Lineage: Eukaryota; Fungi
Description: partial contains 5.8S ribosomal RNA, internal transcribed spacer 2, and large subunit ribosomal RNA
Rfam family: 5.8S ribosomal RNA (bases 1-52)
Source: RNAcentral
AACGCAUAUUGCGCCCUCUGGUAUUCCAGGGGGCAUGCCUGUCUGAGCGUCAGUGAAUUCCUCACUUUACCUUCCAAGGAAAAGUGGUAUUGGGUUAUGAAAUGUGUUUCUGACCCCAAAAGUAUAGGCGGUUAUGUUUGCCUGGUUCUCGGUGUGAUAGGUUCGUCCAACUCGCCUAAAAGCCAGCGCAACACCUCCAAUUCGACUAUUGUGUGUCGUGCACAUAGUCAACCCCACUGAACCCUUGACCUCAGAUCAGGUAGGGAUACCCGCUGAACUUAA